Long non-coding RNA from Dinoponera quadriceps, 241 nucleotides. RefSeq lists it as uncharacterized. The record is from RefSeq and is a predicted model, not a curated record. Lineage: Eukaryota; Metazoa; Arthropoda; Insecta; Hymenoptera; Formicidae. The transcript is spliced from 2 exons.
CAGGCCCACACCAGGAAUUACUCUCGUAAUGGACUGCAAAUAUAACAUACGAUCGCCUUCAUCAAUAUGAAUUGACAUUCGAUUUGACCGAGAUUGAAUGAUCGAACUUACGCAUAAUGAGCAUUGACUCUGCUUUGAAGUCUAGUCUUCACCAAAUCCAGCGGCUGGAAGAGGAUUGUGGAGAAAGUCCCGGAGAAAGAUCCCGCAAGGAACGACUUCAAGAUCGGAUACUGCAAAUAUU